GCUUGAUUAGCUCAGUGGUAGAGCAUCCGAGGUACUCGGCUGGUCGUAGGUUCGACUCCUACAUCAAACACCA
This 73-nucleotide transfer RNA is filed under the name Nostoc sp. PCC 7107. RNAcentral describes it as "tRNA-Tyr (GTA) (tRNA-Tyr-GTA-3-1)". It matches the Rfam family "tRNA". Rfam says of the family: Transfer RNA (tRNA) molecules are approximately 80 nucleotides in length. The record is from RNAcentral. Lineage: Bacteria; Bacillati; Cyanobacteriota; Cyanophyceae; Nostocales; Nostocaceae.